AUAGCCUUGCUGGAGAAAACUGUAGAAAAUGGGAUUUACACCUAUCAAUUACUGGGCAGAAGACCAAGUGUGAGAAUAUAUGUCAUCGGUUUGGAUGAACAUAUCAAGGAUAAACUCGACAGGGACGAAAAUACGUCAUUGGUUAAGAUGAACAUAUCAAGGAUAGACUUGCCUGGAAAUUUCAAAGAGGACACCCUUCAUCGGUUAGGAUGAACAUAUCAAGGAUAUACUGUAAGACCCUAAUUUUGACCCUAAGAUCCCUC
Molecule: long non-coding RNA, 263 nt
Filed under: Lathyrus oleraceus (garden pea)
Lineage: Eukaryota; Viridiplantae; Streptophyta; Magnoliopsida; Fabales; Fabaceae
Description: Pisum sativum (pea) long non-coding RNA (PSAT_LNC029945)
Source: RNAcentral